RNAcentral lists this ribosomal RNA (495 nucleotides) under uncultured bacterium. RNAcentral's name for it is "partial 16S ribosomal RNA". It matches the Rfam family "Bacterial small subunit ribosomal RNA", at positions 30 to 507 of the family's 1533-position model. The record is from RNAcentral.
UGAACGCUGGCGGCGUGCCUAAUACAUGCAAGUCGAGCGAACAGACGAGGAGCUUGCUCCUCUGACGUUAGCGGCGGACGGGUGAGUAACACGUGGAUAACCUACCUAUAAGACUGGGAUAACUUCGGGAAACCGGAGCUAAUACCGGAUAAUAUAUUGGACCGCAUGGUUCAAUAGUGAAAGACGGUUUUGCUGUCACUUAUAGAUGGAUCCGCGCCGCAUUAGCUAGUUGGUAAGGUAACGGCUUACCAAGGCAACGAUGCGUAGCCGACCUGAGAGGGUGAUCGGCCACACUGGAACUGAGACACGGUCCAGACUCCUACGGGAGGCAGCAGUAGGGAAUCUUCCGCAAUGGGCGAAAGCCUGACGGAGCAACGCCGCGUGAGUGAUGAAGGUCUUCGGAUCGUAAAACUCUGUUAUUAGGGAAGAACAAAUGUGUAAGUAACUAUGCACGUCUUGACGGUACCUAAUCAGAAAGCCACGGCUAACUACGUG